Molecule: ribosomal RNA, 742 nt
Filed under: uncultured Planctomycetota bacterium
Lineage: Bacteria; Pseudomonadati; Planctomycetota
Description: bacterial SSU rRNA
Rfam family: Bacterial small subunit ribosomal RNA
Source: RNAcentral
AAUUCGCCCUUGAGCACGUAGGUGGGUUUGUAAGUCAGAUGUGAAAGCCUUCUGUUCAACGGAAGAAUUGCAUCUGAAACUACAAGUCUUGAGUGUAGGAGGGGAGAAUGGAACUUCUGGUGGAGCGGUGAAAUCCGUAGAUAUCAGAAGGAACGCCGGCGGCGAAAGCGAUUCUCUGGCCUAUUACUGACACUCAGUGUGCGAAAGCUAGGGGAGCAAACGGGAUUAGAUACCCCGGUAGUCCUAGCCGUAAACGAUGGGCACUAAGUAGAGGGGAUUACCGACGUUCUCUCUGCCGUAGCUAACGCAUUAAGUGCCCCGCCUGGGGAGUACGGCCGCAAGGCUAAAACUCAAAAGAAUUGACGGGGGCUCGCACAAGCGGUGGAGCAUGUGGCUUAAUUCGAUGCAACGCGAAGAACCUUGCCGGGGCUUGACAUGGUAGAAGUAGGAACCCGAAAGGGUAACGAACGGUAUCCAGUCCGUGACUAUCACAGGUGUUGCAUGGCUGUCGUCAGCUCGUGUCGUGAGACGUUGGGUUAAGUCCCCUAACGAGCGAAACCCUUGUUUUUAGUUACCAGCGGGUUAUGCCGGGUACUCUAGAAAGACUGCCGUCGUCAAGACGGAGGAAGGUGGGGAUGACGUCAAGUCAUCAUGGCCCUUAUGCCCCGGGCUGCACACGUGCUACAAUGGUCGGUACAAACGGAAGCGAAGCCGAGAGGUGAAGCGAAUCCAAGGGCGAAUU